GACGAACGCUGGCGGCAUGCCUAAUACAUGCAAGUCGAGCGGACGUUUCAGAGAGCUUGCUCUUUGAAACGUUAGCGGCGGACGGGUGAGUAACACGUGGGCAACCUGCCCUACAGAUGGGGAUAACUCCGGGAAACCGGGGCUAAUACCGAAUAAACAGUUGGUUCGCAUGAACCAACUCUGAAAGACGGUUUCGGCUGUCACUGUAGGAUGGGCCCGCGGCGCAUUAGCUAGUUGGUGGGGUAAUGGCCUACCAAGGCGACGAUGCGUAGCCGACCUGAGAGGGUGAUCGGCCACACUGGGACUGAGACACGGCCCAG
This 320-nucleotide ribosomal RNA is filed under the name uncultured bacterium. Its description in RNAcentral is "bacterial SSU rRNA". It matches the Rfam family "Bacterial small subunit ribosomal RNA", at positions 28 to 334 of the family's 1533-position model. The record is from RNAcentral.